AAUAGAUACCCCGGUAGUCCUAGCCGUAAACGAUGGACACUAGGUGUUGGUGGUAUCAACCCCGCCAGUGCCGUAGCUAACGCAUUAAGUGUCCCGCCUGGGGAGUACGGCCGCAAGGCUAAAACUCAAAGGAAUUGACGGGGGGCCCGCACAAGCAGCGGAGCGUGGGGUUUAAUUCGAUGCGACGCGAAGAACCUUACCAGGGCUUGACAUGGUCAGGAAUCCGGCGGAAACGUCGGCGUCCCGCAAGGGACCUGAUCACAGGUGUUGCAUGGCUGUCGUCAGCUCGUGUCGUGAGAUGUUGGGUUAAGUCCCGCAACGAGCGCAACCCUACUGUGUGUUGUAUCACUCACACGGGACUGCCGAGAGAAACUCGGAGGAAGGCGGGGAUGACGUCAAGUCAGCAUGGCCCUUACGCCCUGGGCUACCACCCACGCUACAAUGGCCGGUACAACGGGCUGCGAAACCGCGAGGUGGAGCCAAUCCCUUAAAAGGCCGGUCUCAGUUCGGAUCGCAGGCUGCAACUCGCCUGCGUGAAGCCGGAGUUG
This 548-nucleotide ribosomal RNA is filed under the name uncultured bacterium. RNAcentral's name for it is "bacterial SSU rRNA". It matches the Rfam family "Bacterial small subunit ribosomal RNA", at positions 777 to 1334 of the family's 1533-position model. The record is from RNAcentral.